Molecule: ribosomal RNA, 448 nt
Filed under: uncultured bacterium
Lineage: Bacteria
Description: bacterial SSU rRNA
Rfam family: Bacterial small subunit ribosomal RNA
Source: RNAcentral
CCCAGACUCCUACGGGAGGCAGCAGUGGGGAAUAUUGGGCAAUGGGCGCAAGCCUGACCCAGCAACGCCGCGUGAAGGAAGAAGGCUUUCGGGUUGUAAACUUCUUUUGACAGGGAAGAGCAGAAGACGGUACCUGUCGAAUAAGCCACGGCUAACUACGUGCCAGCAGCCGCGGUAAUACGUAGGGGGCAAGCGUUAUCCGGAUUUACUGGGUGUAAAGGGUGCGUAGGUGGCAUGGCAAGUCAGAAGUGAAAGCCCGGGGCUCAACCCCGCGGACUGCUUUUGAAACUGUCAGGCUGGAGUACAGGAGAGGUAAGCGGAAUUCCUAGUGUAGCGGUGAAAUGCGUAGAUAUCAGGAGGAAUACCGUUAGCGAAGGCGGCAAUCUGGCUGGAAACUGACGCUGAGGUGCGAAAGCGUGGGUAGCAAACAGGAUUAGAUACCCCCGUA